RNAcentral lists this unclassified non-coding RNA (190 nucleotides) under rhizosphere metagenome. Its description in RNAcentral is "partial ribosomal RNA internal transcribed spacer region". The record is from RNAcentral.
GUAGGUGAGCCUGCGGAAGGAUCAUUAAUAGUGCUCUUUGAUGCAAAUCAUUGAGUUAGAUCUGCUCUCCUCGCAAGAGGAGGGUUUCCAUACACACCGUGAACUGUGGCUUCGGCCAUCACAAACUGUUAGUAAUGAAUGUAAUAUCAUAACAAAAACAAAACUUUUAACAACGGAUCUCUUGGCUCUC